Molecule: ribosomal RNA, 295 nt
Filed under: Blastocatellia bacterium
Lineage: Bacteria; Pseudomonadati; Acidobacteriota; Blastocatellia
Description: partial 23S ribosomal RNA
Rfam family: Bacterial large subunit ribosomal RNA
Source: RNAcentral
GAGACAGUUCGGUCCCUAUCUGGUGUGGGCGUAGCAAAAUUGAAGGAAUCUGACCUUAGUACGAGAGGACCGGGUUGGAUCCACCUCUAGUGUACGAGUUGUCGCGCCAGCGGCAGCGCUCGGUAGCUAAGUGGAGCAUGGAUAAACGCUGAAUGCAUCUAAGCGUGAAGCCAGACCUAAGAUUAGUUUUGCCAGUGAGACUCGUGGAAGACCACCACGUUGAUAGGCUGGAGAUGUAAGCGCAGUAAUGUGCUUAGUUGACCAGUACUAAUUGUCCCAAGGCUUGACCAUAAAA